GAUGAAGAACGUAGCGAAAUGCGAUACGUAAUGUGAAUUGCAGAUCUCUCAGUGAACCAUCGAAUUUUUGAACGCACAUAGCGCCCGCCGGUCAUUCCGGCGGGUAUGCCUGUCCGAGCGUCAUUUCAACCAUCAAGCGCCUGCGCUUGUGUUGGAGCCCUGCGGCUGCCGCAGGCUCUCAAACCCAGUGGCGGGCUCGUCGUCGUACCGAGUGCAGUAAAUUUACCACGCUCAGGGCACGCGACGGGUGACCGGCCGUAAAACCCCCAUCUUCUCAAGGUUGACCUCGGAUCAGGUAGGAAUACCCGCUGAACUUAAGCAUAUCAAUAAGCGGAGGA
This 338-nucleotide unclassified non-coding RNA is filed under the name soil metagenome. RNAcentral describes it as "partial contains 5.8S ribosomal RNA, internal transcribed spacer 2, and large subunit ribosomal RNA". The stretch from base 1 to 123 matches the Rfam family "5.8S ribosomal RNA", at positions 35 to 154 of the family's 154-position model. The record is from RNAcentral.